GAGCGCCGUAGCAAUACGGAGCGGCAGACGGGAGAGUAACACGUGGGAACGUGCCCUUCAGUUCGGAACAACCCAGGGAAACUUGGGCUAAUACCGGAUACGUCCGUAAGGAGAAAGAUUUAUCGCUGAAGGAUCGGCCCGCGUCUGAUUAGCUAGUUGGUGAGGUAACGGCUCACCAAGGCGACGAUCAGUAGCUGGUCUGAGAGGAUGAUCAGCCUCACUGGGACUGAGACACGGCCCAGACUCCUACGGGAGGCAGCAGUGGGGAAUAUUGGACAAUGGGCGCAAGCCUGAUCCAGCCAUGCCGCGUGGGUGAUGAAGGCCCUAGGGUUGUAAAGCCCUUUCGGCGGGGAAGAUAAUGACGGUACCCGCAGAAGAAGCCCCGGCUAACUUCGUGCCAGCAGCCGCGGUAAUACGAAGGGGGCUAGCGUUGCUCGGAAUCACUGGGCGUAAAGCGCACGUAGGCGGCUUUUUAAGUCAGGGGUGAAAUCCUGGAGCUCAACUCCAGAACUGCCUUUGAUACUGAGAAGCUUGAGUCCGGGAGAGGUGAGUGGAACUGCGAGUGUAGAGGUGAAAUUCGUAGAUAUUCGCAAGAACACCAGUGGCGAAGGCGGCUCACUGGCCCGGUACUGACGCUGAGGUGCGAAAGCGUGGGGA
Molecule: ribosomal RNA, 657 nt
Filed under: uncultured bacterium
Lineage: Bacteria
Description: bacterial SSU rRNA
Rfam family: Bacterial small subunit ribosomal RNA
Source: RNAcentral